CUGCAACUCGCCUGCAUGAAGUCGGAAUUGCUAGUAAUCGCGGAUCAGCAUGCCGCGGUGAAUACGUUCUCGGGCCUUGUACACACCGCCCGUCACACCAUGGGAGUCGGUAACACCCGAAGUCAGUAGUCUAACCGCAAGGAGGACGCUGCCGAAGGUGGGAUUAGCGACUGGGGUGAAGUCGUAACAAGGUAUC
This 196-nucleotide ribosomal RNA is filed under the name uncultured bacterium. Its description in RNAcentral is "partial 16S ribosomal RNA". It matches the Rfam family "Bacterial small subunit ribosomal RNA", at positions 1305 to 1500 of the family's 1533-position model. The record is from RNAcentral.